GUAUAUUGAUGCUGUAAUAUCAAAAACAGCAUUCUUACAGUUUAGAUUUCAAGCUAAUAAUAGUAGAGAGUUUAAAAUCUGAAUUAGAGGACAAUAUUUCUGCAGCAUUUCAAAAAUUGAAUGUUGAUUGCAAAAGGAUAAGGGAAUGGCAAAAAAAUGAAAGCAAGAUAACAGAUUUUAUAAGUGAGCAGACCAUUGAGAAAUGAAAACAAACUGAUAUGCUAGACAACAGUCUGCAUCUAAGUACCCUGAUCUUGAAUUAUUAACUUUAGACUGGAUUAAAAAACAACAGAGUGAAGAAACUUUAAUUACUGGAAAUGCUAUCAGAACCUGGACAAAAUCUGAAGCAGAAGAACUUCAUCUCUCUCAAGAAGACUUUAAAGGAUCUAGAGAUUUCAAAAAAUGAAAAAGCUAAUGGCACAAAUUGAAAAAGAGAGCAUAUUUUCCAGGAAAUGCUAAGAAAUUUAUAUAGAACUAAGAAGAAUCAUUUAACAAACAUAAAUGUAACAACAAACAUGUAACAAGCAUGAUAUUUAACAACAAACAUGUGCAAACAUGGAUGAAAUGCCAUCAUCUAUCAUCCAAAGAUCUACAGAAUCAUGUAAAAUUACUAGCAAUAGCAACAGUGAGAUCCAUGAAUCACUAUGUGAACUCAUAAUGAUGAGAACAUUGGCCAAAAUGAAGUUGUUGAUUCAAAAAUCAUCAAAAUUGGAAGUGAUGCAGAAAAUGCAGAACUCACCUCUGUUGACAACGAUAGUACUGAAUCUGAAGCUUCAUAUGUGAUGUAAAUCCACGGUCAGAUGAACUUUAAUUUUUUCUCGAAUAUUUUUACUACACAGUAAAGUACAUGUUCAGCGCACAAAGCAUUUUAAUAUAUGUUAUUUAAACUAUACUUUCUCAGUAAAACUUUCACUUGUCUUUUUUGAUUAAGAAAUUAAAAGGUUUUAACUUCCUGUAAAAAUAUAUCUGUUGAAAGUUUUUGAAUUUUAUCCAACUUACAGCCCAUGGGUGCUACUUUGAGAAUGUGCCCAUGAGUUUCAAAAGUGGGGUGAUAUGGUAAGCCCAAAACAUAUUACUAUUUGUAAAAUGGAUUCAUCAAUAAAAUACUAUAAUUUUUCCUGUUGCAACAUUGGACUGAUGGUUAUUACUUCUCCUAUUACACUCAGUUGAAAAGACUAUUAGAGUAGAAUAUUUUCUCGGUAGAUG
Molecule: long non-coding RNA, 1206 nt
Filed under: Androctonus crassicauda
Lineage: Eukaryota; Metazoa; Arthropoda; Arachnida; Scorpiones; Buthidae
Source: RNAcentral